UACGUAGGGGGCAAGCGUUGUCCGGAAUCAUUGGGCGUAAAGAGCGCGUAGGCGGCCCUGUAAGUCCGCUGUGAAAGUCAAGGGCUCAACCCUUGAAUGCCGGUGGAUACUGCAGGGCUAGAGUCCGGAAGAGGCGAGUGGAAUUCCAGGUGUAGCGGUGAAAUGCGUAGAUAUCUGGAGGAAUACCGGUGGCGAAGGCGGCAUCCUGGACCGGCAUUGACGCUGAUGAGCGAAAGCUAGGGGAGCAAACGGG
RNAcentral lists this ribosomal RNA (253 nucleotides) under uncultured bacterium. RNAcentral's name for it is "partial 16S ribosomal RNA". It matches the Rfam family "Bacterial small subunit ribosomal RNA", at positions 524 to 776 of the family's 1533-position model. The record is from RNAcentral.